CUUCGGUGGGCGACGCGAGGCGGCAGGGAAGGCAGGCACGGCUCCCAGCUGGUUAUCACACUUUAGAAAACCAUGGGCCCAAUGACUGUCUCAAAAGGAACACAGACCUUUGGCAUCAUUGUACCGGUGAGAAGAAACAUUAGAAGCAGUCAAGAGACCAGCAAGUGGGUCCUCUAGGGAUGAGGAGGCAUCUGAAUAGACUGGGUUGUACUCCUAUGUUCUGACUGCAACCCAUCCAUGGAGUCAAGUGUGGAAUUUUCCAUUUGUGGUGUCAUGUCAGCACUCCAAAAGUUUCAGAUUUUGGAGCACUUUGAAUUUCAGAUUUUCAGAUUAGGAAUGCUCAACCUGCAUUAUUAUGAAUAAAGAGGAACAUUACAUAAUUAAAAUGUGUAACUCAUUAAAGAGGUAAUAAUCCUAAAUGUGUGUGCACCUAACAACAGGGCUUCAAAAUAUAUGAAACAAAAGCUAAAAGAACUAAAGGAAAAAUAAAGAAAUCUGCAUUUAUACAUGUAAACAUCAACACUUCUUUCUCAGAAAUCAAUAGAAGAAUUUAAUUAAAAAUUAGUAGGAUAUAAGAGAACAAUACUAUCAAUUAAGUUGACCAUAUUAGCUUUUUUUUUAACAACAUUUUACCCAACAUCAACAGACUACACAAUCUUUCCAAAUGUACAUGGGACAUUAACCAAAAUAGACCAUACUCUGGACCAUAAAACAAAUAUUAACAAGUUUAAAGAAUUAAAAGCAUACACAGAAUAGACAAUUUCAUAGAGACAGAGAAUAGGCUAGUGGUUACACGAGGUUGGGGGAAAUGGCAUGCUAUUGUUUAAUGGGUACAGAGCUUCUGGUGAUGAUGAAAAUGUUCUGGAAAUAGUGAUGAUGGUUACACAACAUUGUAAAUGUGCUUAAUGCAACUGAGUUGUGAACUUGAAAAUGGCAAAUUUUAUAUCAUGGUUAUUUAAAAAAAAGUCCACUGGGGAAAAAAAUCCAUAUAUAUAAUCUGUUAUCUCACCAGAGCAGGAUUAAACAAGAAAACAAUAGAACGAUAUCAGGAAAAUCCCCAAAUAUUUGGAAAUUGAACCACAUACUUCUAAAUAAACCAUGUGCCAAAGAGAAUUUUCAAGGAAAUUAGAAAAUAUUUUGAAUUGAAUAAAAAUAAAAACAAAUAAAUAAAAACACAUUUAAAAAAAUCAAAAUUUGUGGACUGCAGCCAAUACUUAAAGGAAAACUUACAAAACAGAAUGUAUAUAUUAGAAAAGAACAAGUGUGUAAAAGUAAUAGCCUAAGCUUUGAGCUUAAGAACCUAGAAAAAGGAUGAAAUAAAUGCAAGCAUGUAGAAAAAAUAAAAUAAUAAAUAUAGCAGUGGAAAUCAAUAAAAUUGAAAAUAAGGAAAUAAUAAAACAAUGAAAUAAAAAGCUAAUUCAUUGAAAAGACCAGUAAAAUGUAUAAACCUUUAGCCAAACUGAC
Molecule: long non-coding RNA, 1464 nt
Filed under: Homo sapiens (human)
Lineage: Eukaryota; Metazoa; Chordata; Mammalia; Primates; Hominidae
Description: HSALNT0248570
Source: RNAcentral